UGUCGGACGGGUGAGUAACGCGUGGGUAACCUGCCUCAUACAGGGGGAUAACAGUUAGAAAUGACUGCUAAUACCGCAUAAGCGCACAGGGACACAUGUUCCGGUGUGAAAAACUCCGGUGGUAUGAGAUGGACCCGCGUCUGAUUAGCUGGUUGGCGGGGUAACGGCCCACCAAGGCGACGAUCAGUAGCCGACCUGAGAGGGUGACCGGCCACAUUGGGACUGAGACACGGCCCAAACUCCUACGGGAGGCAGCAG
RNAcentral lists this ribosomal RNA (258 nucleotides) under uncultured bacterium. RNAcentral describes it as "partial 16S ribosomal RNA". It matches the Rfam family "Bacterial small subunit ribosomal RNA", at positions 96 to 354 of the family's 1533-position model. The record is from RNAcentral.